RNAcentral lists this ribosomal RNA (745 nucleotides) under Vibrio campbellii. RNAcentral describes it as "bacterial SSU rRNA". It matches the Rfam family "Bacterial small subunit ribosomal RNA", at positions 389 to 1126 of the family's 1533-position model. The record is from RNAcentral. Lineage: Bacteria; Pseudomonadati; Pseudomonadota; Gammaproteobacteria; Vibrionales; Vibrionaceae.
CAGCCAUGCCGCGUGUGUGAAGAAGGCCUUCGGGUUGUAAAGCACUUUCAGUCGUGAGGAAGGUAGUGUAGUUAAUAGCUGCAUUAUUUGACGUUAGCGACAGAAGAAGCACCGGCUAACUCCGUGCCAGCAGCCGCGGUAAUACGGAGGGUGCGAGCGUUAAUCGGAAUUACUGGGCGUAAAGCGCAUGCAGGUGGUUUGUUAAGUCAGAUGUGAAAGCCCGGGGCUCAACCUCGGAAUAGCAUUUGAAACUGGCAGACUAGAGUACUGUAGAGGGGGGUAGAAUUUCAGGUGUAGCGGUGAAAUGCGUAGAGAUCUGAAGGAAUACCGGUGGCGAAGGCGGCCCCCUGGACAGAUACUGACACUCAGAUGCGAAAGCGUGGGGAGCAAACAGGAUUAGAUACCCUGGUAGUCCACGCCGUAAACGAUGUCUACUUGGAGGUUGUGGCCUUGAGCCGUGGCUUUCGGAGCUAACGCGUUAAGUAGACCGCCUGGGGAGUACGGUCGCAAGAUUAAAACUCAAAUGAAUUGACGGGGGCCCGCACAAGCGGUGGAGCAUGUGGUUUAAUUCGAUGCAACGCGAAGAACCUUACCUACUCUUGACAUCCAGAGAACUUUCCAGAGAUGGAUUGGUGCCUUCGGGAACUCUGAGACAGGUGCUGCAUGGCUGUCGUCAGCUCGUGUUGUGAAAUGUUGGGUUAAGUCCCGCAACGAGCGCAACCCUUAUCCUUGUUUGCCAGCGAGU